Molecule: microRNA, 21 nt
Filed under: Lotus japonicus
Lineage: Eukaryota; Viridiplantae; Streptophyta; Magnoliopsida; Fabales; Fabaceae
Description: lja-miR11115-5p
Source: miRBase by way of RNAcentral
UGGUAUGUAACUUAGAAGUUU